Molecule: long non-coding RNA, 1192 nt
Filed under: Gouania willdenowi (blunt-snouted clingfish)
Lineage: Eukaryota; Metazoa; Chordata; Actinopteri; Blenniiformes; Gobiesocidae
Description: lncRNA (ENSGWIG00000015877.1)
Source: RNAcentral
UUGGAUUCUAUCAUAGAGACUCACCUAGAAACAAGCCUGCAGUAGAAUCAGAAGACUCAUCAGCUGUUCUCUGUUUUUUUUCCUAGCACCAAGGACAACAACGACAUCGGCAGCAACAACAACAAGGGCAACGUCAGCAGCAACAACGGCGACAACAACAAAAAGGGCAGUGUCAACAGCAAAUUCAGCAGCAACUACAGCAUCAGCUGCAACAACAAGAUCAAUGUCAACAACAGUAUCAGCAGCAACAAGAAGGGCAAUGUCAGCAGCAACAGCAACAGAGGCAGCAGCAACAACAAGGGCAUCGUCAUGGCAACAUCAACAGCGGCAACUGUUGUUGUUGUUGCUGCUGACGUUGUCCUUGUCGUUGCUGCUGCUAUCACUUUUGAUGUUGCUGCUGACAUUGCCCUUGUAGUUGUUGCUGCUGAUGCUGUUGCCGCUGUUGAUGUUGCUGCAGACUUUGCCUUUGUUGCUGAAUCAGAAGACUCACCACUUGUUCUCUAUUUUUUACUAGCAUCAAGGACAGCAACCACAUCAGCAGCCAGAACAACAAGGGCAACGUCAACAGCGACAUCAGCAGCAACUACAGCAUCAGCAGCAACAAGAAGGACAACGUCAACAUCAACAGGGGCAACUGUUGUUGCCCUGAAUUAUGGAAGCUGUCACCUUCAAAACACAUACAUCACCCGCCUCACCAGAAAAGCUACCUGGAUUGUGAGAGACGCUAGCCAUCCCGCACAUAGUCUGUUCAGCGUCCUGCCUUCUGGGAGAAGGUAUAGGAGCCUCCGUGCCCGCUCCACCAGACUCACCAACAGCUUCAUCCACCAAGCUGUCAGGAAGCUGAACUCUCUCCCCUCUGUCACCUCAGUCACAUCCACCAGCUGAACCCCCCCCCCCCCCUCCCCCCCCACCAAAAUAGCAACAAGACUGAAAAUGCUGUUAUUUAUUACUGUUUUACUGACUGCUCUUUGUACUAUCACUCUUGCACUACUACUGUAUAUACAGAAUUUUUUUAUGCUGCCAAGACCGUUUUGCCUUUGCACUAUCAUAACAAACUAUAUAGGAACUCAUGCUGCUGCUCCCACCUACACACUGUAUUUAUAUAUUAGUAUAAGUUUUAGUAUUUGGUAUUAGUAAAUGUUUUAUCUGUUGUAAAAAUUGUAUGUAUACCUUUAGUAUAGGAAUGUCUUUU